This 31-nucleotide non-coding RNA is filed under the name Homo sapiens (human). The record is from RNAcentral. Lineage: Eukaryota; Metazoa; Chordata; Mammalia; Primates; Hominidae.
UGCAGGAGUAAGGUGGUAUCACAUUGUGGUU